GAGUCUUGUAUUCUUACUAAGCUACAAGUGCAGAGUUGUCAGCGGCAGUUGAAAUUGUUCUUGUAUGUGCGGUAUUGGCUACUACUCAAGCUCAGCUGAAAGGUUUACUCAACUUAAUUACUAUCAAGCUUGAUGAUGGAAAUUUGAUGAAGUGGAGUUUUCAAGUUCGGUCAAUGAGUCAAUUCCUUUGUGGGGACCGUUGAGGUGGUUUGAAAUUUGAUGAGGAUUGAGGAAUUGGGACAGGAUGAGGAGAGGAAAAUGAGUGAGCAUAUUUUUCAUUGAAAAAAGUAGGGGUCCAAGAAUGAGUUGUAUGAGUUCCUUCCAUCUUUACCUGUAUAGAAGUUGUUUAAUUUGUUAUAAAAUUCUUUAGAAAUCUCGGAGCUUUCAACAUUUUGUGCAUUUGUACAUGCUUAGUGCUUUGAUCAUUUUAUCACCAUUGUUAUGACGGUAAUCUAUGCUCUAAUAUAAUUCGGAUUCGAGAUUCAUAGCUGACAAAGAUCAUUCAGGAGAUGACUGUCUUGGGUUCACAGGUACAACAUCAAGUCCCAUACCAGAUCUCUUUCAAGAAAUGACUGACCUCGCAUAUUGAAACAAAGCAAAAGCAACAUGAACUUCAGUUAUCAGGCUUGGAGCACUUGACAGUGUACGUACAAUCCAACUCUCCACACCAGUUCCCCGUGCUAUAUAUACUUGACCAUAAAUCUGAGAUUAUCACUCACUCACUCUCCCUCUCUCCAUUUCAGCUGUAGAAAUGUAGUGAAGAUCAGGAAUUCUAGACACGAACAUGAAUAAUGGAUGUAUCAAAAGCAAAAGUUAAAACAUAUGGUU
This 828-nucleotide long non-coding RNA is filed under the name Rosa chinensis. Its description in RNAcentral is "sRNA RchiOBHm_Chr5g0082891". Lineage: Eukaryota; Viridiplantae; Streptophyta; Magnoliopsida; Rosales; Rosaceae. The record is from RNAcentral.